RNAcentral lists this ribosomal RNA (1439 nucleotides) under uncultured organism. RNAcentral's name for it is "16S ribosomal RNA". It matches the Rfam family "Bacterial small subunit ribosomal RNA". The record is from RNAcentral.
GGCGUGCUUAACACAUGCAAGUCGAACGGAAAGGCCCUGCUUUUGUGGGGUGCUCGAGUGGCGAACGGGUGAGUAACACGUGAGUAACCUGCCCUUGACUUUGGGAUAACUUCAGGAAACUGGGGCUAAUACCGGAUAGGAGCUCCUGCUGCAUGGUGGGGGUUGGAAAGUUUCGGCGGUUGGGGAUGGACUCGCGGCUUAUCAGCUUGUUGGUGGGGUAGUGGCUUACCAAGGCUUUGACGGGUAGCCGGCCUGAGAGGGUGACCGGCCACAUUGGGACUGAGAUACGGCCCAGACUCCUACGGGAGGCAGCAGUGGGGAAUAUUGCACAAUGGGCGGAAGCCUGAUGCAGCAACGCCGCGUGCGGGAUGACGGCCUUCGGGUUGUAAACCGCUUUCGCCUGUGACGAAGCGUGAGUGACGGUAAUGGGUAAAGAAGCACCGGCUAACUACGUGCCAGCAGCCGCGGUGAUACGUAGGGUGCGAGCGUUGUCCGGAUUUAUUGGGCGUAAAGGGCUCGUAGGUGGUUGAUCGCGUCGGAAGUGUAAUCUUGGGGCUUAACCCUGAGCGUGCUUUCGAUACGGGUUGACUUGAGGAAGGUAGGGGAGAAUGGAAUUCCUGGUGGAGCGGUGGAAUGCGCAGAUAUCAGGAGGAACACCAGUGGCGAAGGCGGUUCUCUGGGCCUUUCCUGACGCUGAGAAGCGAAAGCGUGGGGAGCGAACAGGCUUAGAUACCCUGGUAGUCCACGCUGUAAACGGUGGGUACUAGGUGUGGGGUCCAUUCCACGGGUUCCGUGCCGUAGCUAACGCUUUAAGUACCCCGCCUGGGGAGUACGGCCGCAAGGCUAAAACUCAAAGGAAUUGACGGGGCCCCGCACAAGCGGCGGAGCAUGCGGAUUAAUUCGAUGCAACGCGUAGAACCUUACCUGGGUUUGACAUGGAUCGGGAGUGCUCAGAGAUGGGUGUGCCUCUUUUGGGGUCGGUUCACAGGUGGUGCAUGGCUGUCGUCAGCUCGUGUCGUGAGGUGUUGGGUUAAGUCCCGCAACGAGCGCAACCCUUGUUCACUGUUGCCAGCACGUUAUGGUGGGGACUCAGUGGAGACCGCCGGGGUCAACUCGGAGGAAGGUGGGGAUGACGUCAAGUCAUCAUGCCCCUUAUGUCCAGGGCUUCACGCAUGCUACAAUGGCUGGUACAGAGAGUGGCGAGCCUGUGAGGGUGAGCGAAUCUCGGAAAGCCGGUCUCAGUUCGGAUUGGGGUCUGCAACUCGACCUCAUGAAGUCGGAGUCGCUAGUAAUCGCAGAUCAGCAACGCUGCGGUGAAUACGUUCCCGGGGCUUGUACACACCGCCCGUCAAGUCAUGGAAGUUGGUAACACCCGAAGCCGGUGGCCUAACCGUUGUGGGGGAGCCGUCGAAGGUGGGACUGGUGAUUAGGACUAAGUC